AUUAGAGUUUGAUCCUGGCUCAGAUUGAACGCUGGCGGCAUGCCUUACACAUGCAAGUCGAACGGCAGCGGGUCCUUCGGGACGCCGGCGAGUGGCGAACGGGUGAGUAAUGCAUCGGAACGUACCCAGUAGUGGGGGAUAACUUACCGAAAGGUAAGCUAAUACCGCAUACGCACUGAGGUGGAAAGCAGGGGACCGCAAGGCCUUGCGCUAUUGGAGCGGCCGAUGUCGGAUUAGCUAGUUGGUGGGGUAAAGGCCUACCAAGGCGACGAUCCGUAGCGGGUCUGAGAGGAUGAUCCGCCACACUGGAACUGAGACACGGUCCAGACUCCUACGGGAGGCAGCAGUGGGGAAUUUUGGACAAUGGGCGCAAGCCUGAUCCAGCCAUGCCGCGUGAGUGAAGAAGGCCUUCGGGUUGUAAAGCUCUUUCGGCCGGGAAGAAAUCGUGGUGGCUAAUACCUGCCAUGGAUGACGGUACCGGACUAAGAAGCACCGGCUAACUACGUGCCAGCAGCCGCGGUAAUACGUAGGGUGCGAGCGUUAAUCGGAAUUACUGGGCGUAAAGCGUGCGCAGGCGGUUGUGUAAGGCAGGCGUGAAAUCCCCGGGCUCAACCUGGGAACUGCGCUUGUGACUGCACGGCUAGAGUACGGCAGAGGGGGGUGGAAUUCCACGUGUAGCAGUGAAAUGCGUAGAGAUGUGGAGGAACACCGAUGGCGAAGGGCAGCCCCCUGGGUCGAUACUGACGCUCAUGCACGAAAGCGUGGGGAGCAAACAGGAUUAGAUACCCUGGUAGUCCACGCCCUAAACGAUGUCGACUAGUUGUUGGAGGGGUAAAACCCUUUAGUAACGUAGCUAACGCGUGAAGUCGACCGCCUGGGGAGUACGGCCGCAAGGUUAAAACUCAAAGGAAUUGACGGGGACCCGCACAAGCGGUGGAUGAUGUGGAUUAAUUCGAUGCAACGCCAAAAACCUUACCUACCCUUGACAUGCCAGGAACUUGCCAGAGAUGGCUUGGUGCCCGCAAGGGAACCUGGACACAGGUGCUGCAUGACUGUCGUCAGCUCGUGUCGUGAGAUGUUGGGUUAAGUCCCGCAACGAGCGCAACCCUCGUCCUUAGUUGCUAACGUUGCCGAAAGGCUGCGUGCACUCUAGGGAGACCGCCGGCGAUAAGCUGGAGGAAGGUGGGGAUGACGUCAAGUCCUCAUGGCCCUUAUGUCCCGGGCUACACACACGCUACAAUGGCCUGAACAAAGGGUUGCAAGACCGCGAGGUGGAGCUAAUCCCAAAAAUCAGGCCUCAGUUCAGAUUGCAGGCUGCAACUCGCCUGCAUGAAGACGGAGUUGCUAGUAACCGCAGGUCAGCUAUACUGCGGUGAAUACGUUCUCGGGGCUUGCACACACCGCCCGUCA
RNAcentral lists this ribosomal RNA (1410 nucleotides) under uncultured bacterium. Its description in RNAcentral is "bacterial SSU rRNA". It matches the Rfam family "Bacterial small subunit ribosomal RNA". The record is from RNAcentral.